Piliocolobus tephrosceles (Ugandan red Colobus) is the source of this 650-nucleotide long non-coding RNA. RefSeq lists it as uncharacterized. The transcript has 2 exons. Lineage: Eukaryota; Metazoa; Chordata; Mammalia; Primates; Cercopithecidae. The record is from RefSeq and is a predicted model, not a curated record.
GGAUGCCCGGAGGGGGCGGUGGCCUCGUCUUUGGCUCUGAGGCGGCGGCGCGAGGCGCAGCAAACGCUCGGCUGCUGCGGUCCGUGGUGUGGGGUACGCAAGGGUGCGGACCUCGGAGCUCUCCCAGCCUGUCCCGUUUCUCAGCGCCUUCCCCACCCGAACCGGGGUCUCGCGUUUGGAAACGCUCCGGGUGCAGCCCCGCGCGGGGCCGGCCGUAACCGUGCCGCGGGCCGGACGAUGCCCAAGAAGCUGCUGUUGUUGCCCCAGCUCUCCGCGUCCUCGGCCUUCCGUGUCCCGCGCGCCCGCCCCGCUCCCCCGCCGGCCAUGAACGCCGCUCGCACCGGCUACCGAGUCUUCUCGGCCAACUCCACGGCCGCCUGCACGGAGCUGGCCAAGCGCAUCACAGAGAAGCCCCUGGUCUCAAGUCGCCUUUGGGGUCUGACAGCUCUGAGAUGCCUUCCCAGCCUUGCCACUUACUAGCUCUGUCACUGGGCAAGAGACUUGAUUUCCCUGAACCUCAUCUGUGAAAUGGGCAUGAUUCUCUCUCAUGGCCAAGAAUAUUGUGAGUAUGACCGGGAUAGUGUAGUAGUAGUAUCUGGUUCUAGCAGAGCAGGGCUCAUAGUGGCCCCCUGAAUACCUGUUUACUAAAU